Molecule: long non-coding RNA, 1398 nt
Filed under: Nicotiana tabacum (common tobacco)
Lineage: Eukaryota; Viridiplantae; Streptophyta; Magnoliopsida; Solanales; Solanaceae
Description: long non-coding RNA (NTAB_LNC015539)
Source: RNAcentral
GGGUUUCUAAGCAAAUUUUAUUUUGUUUUUGAUAAAGCAUUCAGUUAAUUUUGUUUGAUUUUCCAUCUUGCUUUAGAGUAAGAAAUUUAUUGUCUAACUCUAAUUAGAGUAAUGAAUGUUGUCAGGUUUUUCAUCUAAAGAUACUCAAAUGGUUGAUUGUUGGCUCAUAUGUCUAUUCCAACGUAUAGAUUAAUCAUUAGCGUCACUAUCUUGGUGGGAGGAAUGUGGAAAUGAGGUAAUUCUUAUUUCAAUUCUGACACUGGUUUCAAAUAGGAUACAAAUAUUCAGUGAUCUUAGUUGGGAUUUGGCAAGCUGAUGAAACAAAGAGUUUUGCUUGAUAGUGGAGUUUGGAUGAAACUAGCUAUGCAUGUGUCUUUAGUUUUACCUCUAUUUGAUCUUGUUCUAAAAAAGCAAUAUUUUUUAGUUUUCUUUUGUAUUUUUUGUUUACUUAUAUAUGAUAUAUCAAGUAUGUCUCACUCAAAUGAGUUAUGUUUCUCGCAGGGUUACAUUUAGAUGUGUGCUGGUUAUGGAGCUCAAUUUAGAGGUAUGCAAGUUUUGGAGCUCCAUGUUUAUUUCUUGUACAGUAAACUUCUGCUGACUGAUUAAAGUGCUCCUUAACAGUGGUUGCUGAGGUUAGGAUUGUUGAUUCCAAUAUCACCAAAUUCAAUACUCCACCAACUUUUACCAACUUGUUAAACGUUUGAAUUGUUGUGUAUCUCUGUGUCAAAUUCAUGAUAAUAUUGUUAUUCUCCUUGAUUUCUUUUAAGCCAAAUAGUAUGUAAUUGAUUGUUGCAGUCUUUGUAAGUUAGUUUUAUUUGUUAUAAUUUUUGGAUUAGGAGAUACUUUACUUAGAAAGAUAAUUAUUGGACUAUGAUAAUAUAAAACUACUUAAACGAAUAGCUGUUAUCUUCGAUUAAAUCCUACUGCAUAGUUUAUAGAGUUGCCUAAUAUCCUUUCUGUUCUCUUCCAGGGAAUUUAUUACUUAAAGUUGAAAUUCUGCAAUAAUUAGUGGUAUUAGCCAUCAUUUGAUCAUCACCUUGGACAAUCUUUUUCUAGAAAGUCAGUAGAUUAUCAAAUGAGUAGGCACUCAAACGACAUGGGGAGGAAGCUUCUAAAAGAAAGUAGCAGAAGGAGGGGAAACAGAGCCGAAGAAGUGAAAAUAUCUCUUGUCCCAAUAUUAGUUUGAAUCCAGCAAUGUUUAAUUGUAAAGAUGUAUAGCUAUUCACAAUUUUAUUCUUGUAUAUGGAUCAUAUGUUUGCAAAUAUUUUAUUUUUGUUUAAAUUGUCUAUAGUGAAUGACAUUUGUAAGUACAAUUUGAACUUUGAUGGUUAUAUUUUCCUGUUAAUAAAAUAAAAUUUUAGUUUCUACAUUAAAAUGCCAAUGAGUAUUUUAAUUUUG